Molecule: ribosomal RNA, 468 nt
Filed under: uncultured bacterium
Lineage: Bacteria
Description: partial 16S ribosomal RNA
Rfam family: Bacterial small subunit ribosomal RNA
Source: RNAcentral
GACGAACGCUGGCGGCGUGCUUAACACAUGCAAGUCGAACGGAAAGGCCCUGCUUUUGUGGGGUGCUCGAGUGGCGAACGGGUGAGUAACACGUGAGUAACCUGCCCUUGACUUUGGGAUAACUUCAGGAAACUGGGGCUAAUACCGGAUAGGAGCUCCUGCUGCAUGGUGGGGGUUGGAAAGUCUCGGCGGUUGGGGAUGGACUCGCGGCUUAUCAGCUUGUUGGUGGGGUAGUGGCUUACCAAGGCUUUGACGGGUAGCCGGCCUGAGAGGGUGACCGGCCAGAUUGGGACUGAGAUACGGCCCAGACUCCUACGGGAGGCAGCAGUGGGGAAUAUUGCACAAUGGGCGGAAGCCUGAUGCAGCAACGCCGCGUGCGGGAUGACGGCCUUCGGGUUGUAAACCGCUUGCGCCUGUGACGAAGCGUGAGUGACGGUAAUUGGUAAAGAAGCACCGGCUAACUACGUG